This is a long non-coding RNA of Andrographis paniculata, 389 nucleotides long. RefSeq lists it as uncharacterized. The record is from RefSeq and is a predicted model, not a curated record. The transcript has 3 exons. Lineage: Eukaryota; Viridiplantae; Streptophyta; Magnoliopsida; Lamiales; Acanthaceae.
AGGCAAAAAAACACUGUCGUAUCUCCUCAAGAAGACUCUCCUGUGCAAAGGUGGACUUGCACCCACUCCCAUUGUAAAGGACCUACUUCCAGAUCCUAAAUUGGAUAACUCUAGAAUGGAGAAGAUACUAAGGGCCAUGCUGCACAAGAAGAUUUAUCCUCAAAGGACAAGUCCAAAGGCCACAUCACAGAAAUACUUGGAUAUGCCAGAGAUGGGUAGCGGUGAGGAAGAAGAGGAUAGUUCUAAAAGUAAAUGGGUCAAAACAGACUCAGAAUAUAUCGUUCUCGAGAUAUAAUUUGAGAGCUCCACCAACUGUGAAUUCCGGGUAAUAGUAUCUUUCAUGUCAUUCCUUCUCCAAUUUUACAGCACAUUGAUGCUAGCAAUCUAAG